UCAUCAAAUGGCCUCUUCACCGACUUUGCUGAGGACUUUUACUUUAAAACCCACAAAAAUUUAAGGUGAUUUGAAUAGCUUUGGACAGUUUUUUUUUUGGUGGCAUUUUGAUCUGUAGGUUUUGUUUUAUCUUCCUAACAAUGUUUUAACAGUGAGUUUUCUUUUGUCUUCGUAAUGUUUAAGAAAUGUUCCUUCAUCCCAUCUGUAUCUCUCUCAGUUCUGUGCUGCCGUGGGAGUUGGGUCAGAACAUUUAUUGGAGACCUCAGGGGUGUACUAGUGCCCUGCCUCGUGUGGACUGCUGACCCUUGGAGGGCAGGGAUAAAGGAGAACGUGGGAGGACUGAGGACAGAUGUUGGUGUGGGGAGUUCUGGAGCGGACCCCUUGUGAGCAUGUUAGGACCCAGCAAACCGGAAUGCCUUCUCAGCUUCCUGAAGAACAAGGCAGGUGGAUGAAGAGGGGUUGCCCCUGACAGCCCUGCUCCUGACCUUGCUCAAGGAAGACCUUCAAUACCCACCUCCAUCUGACUGAGUUCUGUUAAGGAAGAUAACACUCACAUCUUUGGCUCUCUUCACGAGUGGAGUAAGCCUUCCAUUCUUCAAAGGGAGAACUCCCAGAAGCCAGCAGUGCCCUUGACAAAACCAGCUCAAACUCAAGCUGACAAGCACUUGACUGGGACCAUCACAUCAUUCUUCAGUGACAGGGUCCUGAGCAAGAGGGGCCGGGGAUCAGAGGUAAAGAAGAUAAAACAGGUGAGUUCAGAAGGCCUUUCUUAAACUGUGACUUAUGCCAAGCAAACUUAAGAAGUUCAGCAUCUUAUUUAUAUACUAUUCACAGGGGAAAAUGGAACUGAGUCAGUGAAAAGUUAGCAUCCAAUGGGACAGAGUCAAGUGGGGCCUAAUCAAGGACACAUGGUAAUACAAGGGGAACACAGGCUAUCUCAAGGGCAUCACAGACUGAGCCCACAGUGGCUUUGGGAAUGAUAACUCCAGUCUCUUUUGGGGAAUAAACCAAGUUUCCAGGAACUGAAACAUUAAUUCCUUUGAGGCCCUGGUCUUAGGCUCAGACUGGACCUUGCCAAGUGUGCCCCUGGGCAAGGACAAAGAACUAAGUUCAUCAGGAGCCCCGGGAAAGCCUUGUAUAGAUUCAGCUUUCCAUGAACACUUGCUGUGGUCAGCCAAGACAGGAGAGUCCAACAGGCAGAAGCAGCAGUCUACUAUUAUAAUCUGCACGUCCAUGGCUGUUAGUAAUUAUUGUACUUCUAUGUCAUCUACAGCUCCUCUUCUGCUCAGUUUUAAAUUAGAUUGUUUUCUUAUUGAGAUUUGACCUUCUUUUUUUUUUAAAGAUUUAUUUAUUUAUCAUAUAUAAGCACACUGUAGCUGUCUUCAGACACACCAGAAGAGGGCAUCUGAUUUCAUUACAGAUGGUUGUGAGCCACCAUGUGGUUGCUGGGAUUUGAACUCAGGACCUCUGGAAGAGCAGUCGAUGCUCUUAACCGCUGAGCCAUCUCUCCAGUCUGAGAUUUGACCUUCUUGUCUGUGGUCUGGAUAUCAGUCUCUUGUCAGGAGCAAACAAGGUCUUUGGGAAAACGAACUCAGAAUAGCUACUUCCAGCUCGUAUCCAAAGGGGAUAGAAUCAAGAAGAAAAGAGUCCGUGGCAUGCUCAGAAAUUUACUGGAAAGAGUCAAGCUGAGAAAACCAUUCAACUGCAAAGACACACUACCUUACCUGGGUGAGGAAGGAUAACUUGGAGAGGAACUGAGAUCCCAAAUUACAGAGCCAGGAACCAUGGAGGAUCCAAGGGACUUCCAACGUUCAGAAGAUGGCUUUCUCAAAUCAAGAAGACCCUCACCAGAACCUGCUGGUAGCCAAUGAGAGUUUCUAGGCUCUGAAACUGUAUUGUUGUGCUCGGAAUGCUGCAGCCUCCAUCUUGAGACUCCACCCAACACCAAUACAGGCAAGAGGAGCAGAGGGUGUCCAACUCCUACACAUGGGCCGCUAAACUUCCCCCAGCCAACCAAAAAGCUGGUUUUUAGUUAAAAAUACUGUCUGCUGAUAAAAGAAAUAAGG
Molecule: non-coding RNA, 2066 nt
Organism: Rattus norvegicus (Norway rat)
Lineage: Eukaryota; Metazoa; Chordata; Mammalia; Rodentia; Muridae
Source: RefSeq, a predicted model, not a curated record